Molecule: non-coding RNA, 125 nt
Organism: Triticum urartu
Lineage: Eukaryota; Viridiplantae; Streptophyta; Magnoliopsida; Poales; Poaceae
Source: Rfam
UAAAUACUUCCUCUGUCUGGAAUUACUUGUCGCAAGAAUGGAUGUAUCUAGAUGUAUUUUAGUUCUAAAUACAUUCAUUUCUAUCCGUUUUCACGACAAGUAAUUUCAGACGGAGGGAGUAUGUU